GGGGGUGACCAGGUCUCGACAGGGCAUGUCGGAACUUCGGUUGCGUGCCGGGGAUGAUCGUUGGCCCCGUAAAAUAUCGAUCAAAAACUAACUGCGAACGAUAACUUCGCCUACGCGGCCUAAAGAAACGGCCCCGUCGCUGAAGCACCGAUGUCUGCUGAGUGUGGAAGCGUCGAUUAGCAGAUCCUGCUGUGAACCGGACCCUCGGGAACACAUGCUUGUACUAUCAUGAAGGUAGGUGUAUGAAAGGCCCGCCGAUCGGCUGAUCCUACACGAGACAAUAGGUCGGAUACGCACGUAGACAUCGCUGUGAAGCUGUCUUGGACGCGGGUUCAACUCCCGCCACCUCCACCA
RNAcentral lists this transfer-messenger RNA (354 nucleotides) under Kiritimatiellia. RNAcentral's name for it is "Spyradenecus sp017646485 Standard tmRNA". It matches the Rfam family "transfer-messenger RNA". From Rfam's summary of the family: Bacterial tmRNA, also known as 10Sa RNA or SsrA, is named for its dual tRNA and mRNA-like properties. Its role is to liberate the mRNA from a stalled ribosome. RNAcentral also lists the same sequence under 1 other name. Lineage: Bacteria; Pseudomonadati; Kiritimatiellota. The record is from RNAcentral.